AUUGAACGCUGGCGGCAGGCCUAACACAUGCAAGUCGAACGGUAACAGGAAGCAGCUUGCUGCUUCGCUGACGAGUGGCGGACGGGUGAGUAAUGUCUGGGAAGCUGCCUGAUGGAGGGGGAUAACUACUGGAAACGGUAGCUAAUACCGCAUAAUGUCGCAAGACCAAAGAGGGGGACCUUCGGGCCUCUUGCCAUCGGAUGUGCCCAGAUGGGAUUAGCUUGUUGGUGGGGUAACGGCUCACCAAGGCGACGAUCCCUAGCUGGUCUGAGAGGAUGACCAGCCACACUGGAACUGAGACACGGUCCAGACUCCUACGGGAGGCAGCAGUGGGGAAUAUUGCACAAUGGGCGCGAGCCUGAUGCAGCCAUGCCGCGUGUAUGAAGAAGGCCUUCGGGUUGUAAAGUACUUUCAGCGGGGAGGAAGGGAGUAAAGUUAAUACCUUUGCUCAUUGACGUUACCCGCAGAAGAAGCACCGGCUAACUCCGUGCCAGCAGCCGCGGUAAUACGGAGGGUGCAAGCGUUAAUCGGAAUUACUGGGCGUAAAGCGCACGCAGGCGGUUUGUUAAGUCAGAUGUGAAAUCCCCGGGCUCAACCUGGGAACUGCAUCUGAUACUGGCAAGCUUGAGUCUCGUAGAGGGGGGUAGAAUUCCAGGUGUAGCGGUGAAAUGCGUAGAGAUCUGGAGGAAU
RNAcentral lists this ribosomal RNA (690 nucleotides) under uncultured Pseudomonadota bacterium. RNAcentral describes it as "bacterial SSU rRNA". It matches the Rfam family "Bacterial small subunit ribosomal RNA", at positions 28 to 707 of the family's 1533-position model. Lineage: Bacteria; Pseudomonadati; Pseudomonadota. The record is from RNAcentral.